GUGCUUGCUUCAGCAUCACAUAUACUAAAAUUGGAACAAUACAGAGAAGAUUAGCAUAGCCCCUGCACGAGGAUGACAUACAAAUUCUUGAAGCAUCCCUUAUUUUU
Molecule: small nuclear RNA, 107 nt
Filed under: Dasypus novemcinctus (nine-banded armadillo)
Lineage: Eukaryota; Metazoa; Chordata; Mammalia; Cingulata; Dasypodidae
Source: RNAcentral